UACGAGAGGCCCAAACGUUAUUCGGAUUUACUGGGCUUAAAGAGUUCGUAGGCGGCGCAGAAAGUAGGGUGUGAAAGCCCUCGGCUCAACCGAGGAAUUGCGCCCUAAACUACUGUGCUUGAGGGACCUAGAGGUGAGCAGAACAGAUGGUGGAGCGGUGAAAUGCGUUGAUAUCCUAAGGAACACCGGUGGCGAAAGCGGCUCACUGGAUCUCUUCUGACGCUGAGGCACGAAAGCUAGGGUAGCAAACGGG
This 253-nucleotide ribosomal RNA is filed under the name uncultured bacterium. RNAcentral's name for it is "partial 16S ribosomal RNA". It matches the Rfam family "Bacterial small subunit ribosomal RNA", at positions 524 to 776 of the family's 1533-position model. The record is from RNAcentral.